GAAGUGUUUGAAAUGAUUGCCACUGGAAGGCGUCUUGUAACCCACUUUAAUCAUUCAGGUGUAGCACAGGAAAAACUGCUGGCAAUCCAGAAGGAGCUGAAUUUACCGCAGCAUCUGCUAUUGCAGGAUGUCAACACGAGGUAGCGGAACAUGAUAAACUCACCAAUUUGAUGAGUCAACAGUGGGGCUUGAUGGAGCAGUGCGUUAGGCUUUUGAAAGCAUUUGAGGAAAUAACAAAAAUAACAAGUUCUGGCUUCUCUUGUAUAUCUGAAGUGAUUUCACAUGUUGCUGCAAAGUAUUUGGACAAAGCUGAGACUGCACAAAGAACACCGAACUUAUCAAACCCGUGGUUUAAGUUAUACUAUUUAGGAAUUCUUGAAAUGGAAACAGCCCGGCAGAAAAUGUUAUUGGAGUAUAUAAAAAUAUGUUGCGACGAAUCGUUUGAGAGUAACUGCCAU
Long non-coding RNA from Toxorhynchites rutilus septentrionalis, 458 nucleotides. RefSeq lists it as uncharacterized. The transcript has 3 exons. NCBI's taxonomy places the organism in Eukaryota, Metazoa, Arthropoda, Insecta, Diptera, Culicidae. The record is from RefSeq and is a predicted model, not a curated record.